UGGGGAAUAUUGCACAAUGGGGGAAACCCUGAUGCAGCGACGCCACGUGAGCGAAGAAGGUUUUCGAAUCGUAAAGCUCUGUCCUAUGAGAAGAUAAUGACGGUAUCAUAGGAGGUAGCCCCGGCUAAAUACGUGCCAGCAGCCGCGGUAAUACGUAUGGGGCGAGCGUUGUCCGGAAUUAUUGGGCGUAAAGGGUACGUAGGCGGUCUAUUAAGUCAGGUGUGAAAGCGUGAGGCUUAACCUCAUUCAGCACUUGAAACUGAUAGACUUGAGUGAAGGAGAGGAAAGUGGAAUUCCUAGUGUAGCGGUGAAAUGCGUAGAUAUUAGGAGGAAUACCGGUGGCGAAGGCGACUUUCUGGACUUUUACUGACGCUCAGGUACGAAAGCGUGGGGAGCAAACAGG
RNAcentral lists this ribosomal RNA (403 nucleotides) under Verrucomicrobiota bacterium. RNAcentral's name for it is "Verrucomicrobia bacterium partial 16S ribosomal RNA". It matches the Rfam family "Bacterial small subunit ribosomal RNA", at positions 355 to 776 of the family's 1533-position model. Lineage: Bacteria; Pseudomonadati; Verrucomicrobiota. The record is from RNAcentral.